UACGUAGGCAGCAAGCGUUGUUCGGAGUUACUGGGCGUAAAGGGUGUGUAGGCGGUUUUCUAAGUCUGGUGUGAAAUCUCCCGGCUCAACUGGGAGGGUGCGCCGAAAACUGGAAGGCUAGAGUGCGGGAUGGGAGAGUGGAAUUCCUGGUGUAGCGGUGAAAUGCGUAGAUAUCAGGAGGAACACCUGUGGUGUAGACGGCUCUCUGGACCGCAACUGACGCUGAGACACGAAAGCGUGGGGAGCGAACAGG
RNAcentral lists this ribosomal RNA (253 nucleotides) under uncultured bacterium. Its description in RNAcentral is "partial 16S ribosomal RNA". It matches the Rfam family "Bacterial small subunit ribosomal RNA", at positions 524 to 776 of the family's 1533-position model. The record is from RNAcentral.